CUAGUGGCCAACUUCUCAGCCAUGCUUAACACUGCAAUGUGGUUAAAUACAGGCUGUAGUCUCUGGGACCCUAGGGAGAUUCACUCUAUCUCCCCUGGGCCCUGGAUGACAUCAGAGUCACCCCCACCUGACCCCAGUAAGCAGGAAGACACCCCUGGAGUGACAAGUGUGUGAGGAAGCCAGACUGGACUUCCUGUGAACCUUGCAAAUGAAAGCCAUUGCAAGACUGCAAUCAGAGGGAUGAUGAGUGGCUGACGGCAACAUGGAGGAUAAAUCAGGCGGAAGAGUGGUGGCAGGGUUACUUGAAAUGCCAUCUCCCAGGCUUGAAGUGCUAAAAAUUCCCACUGAAGAAAACAUAACUUUCUUGCCUGGGAAAUCCCGCAGGCAGAGGAGCCUGGUGAGCUACACUCUUUGGGGUUGCAAACAGUCAGAUACAACUUAGCAACUAAAUAGCAACAGGAAGUGACAUAAAUGCCCACUGACAGAGGAAUGGAUAAAGAAGACGUGGUUCUGCUAAGUCACUUCAGUCAUGUCCAGCUCUGCGAUGCUAUGGACUGUAGCCUGACAGGCUUCUCUGUCCAUUGGAUUCUCCAGGCAGGAAUACUGGAGUGAGUUGCCAUUAAUAGAAUAUUACUCAAUAAAAAGAAUGAAAUAAUGCCAUUUGCAGCAACAUGAAUGGACCUAGAGACUGUCCCACUGAGUGAAGUAAGUCAGACAGAGAAGGAGAAAUAUCCUAUGAUGUCCUUUGUAUGUGGAGUCUAAAAAGAAAUGAUACAAAUGAACUUACUUACAAAACAGAAAGAGACUCACAGACUUAAGGAAUGAAUUUAUGGUUGCUGGGGUGGAGGGAAGGAUGAGGGGAAAGGAAAAUUUGGGAUUGACAUGUAUACACUGCUGUAUUUAAAAUGGAUAAACAAGAAGGACCUACUACAUAGCACAGGCAACUCUGCUCAAUGUUACGGCAGCCUGGAUGGGGGGUGGGGGUGUCUGGGGGAGGAUGGAAGCAUGUAUAUGUGUGGCUGAGACCCUUCGCUGUACUCGAAACUAUCACAGCAUUGUCAACUGGCUAUACCCCAAUACAAAAUAAAAAGUUUGAAAAGCAAAAAAUAAAAUAUAAACUCUCAGC
Molecule: long non-coding RNA, 1126 nt
Organism: Bos taurus (domestic cattle)
Lineage: Eukaryota; Metazoa; Chordata; Mammalia; Artiodactyla; Bovidae
Source: Ensembl